AAGUUCCGGGCCGAGUUCCUGGUGCCCACGAGUCUUGUAAGGUGCGGCUAGAAACUGGGGACAUGGCAGCGCCUGGCCCAGCGCUCUGCCUCUUCGACGUGGAUGGGACCCUCACCGCCCCGCGGCAGAAAAUUACCAAAGAAAUGGAUGACUUCCUGCAAAACUUGAGGCAAAAGAUCAAAAUCGGAGUGGUAGGCGGAUCGGACUUUGAGAAAGUGCAGGAGCAACUGGGAAAUGAUGUGGUUGAAAAAUACGAUUAUGUGUUUCCAGAAAAUGGCUUGGUAGCAUACAAAGAUGGGAAACUCUUAUGUAAACAGAAUAUUCAAAGUCAUCUGGGUGAGGCCCUAAUCCAAGAUUUAAUCAACUACUGUCUGAGCUACAUUGCGAAAAUUAAACUCCCGAAGAAGAGGUGGGUUUGCUUUUAACAAAGAGGCAUCACUGGAACAUAGCGUAGUGUCAUAUGGUGGGUUAAUGUGGGCAUUCUCCAAAUAGGAUUAUAAAAAUCACCUAAAGAGUUUUAAAAACAAAGUCUGAUAUUUAGCCUGCCCCUUGGCAAUUCUGAUUCAGAAAGCCUGAGAGCCGAGCUUGGAAAUCCACGUUUUCUCUGGCUGCCCUGGUGCUGCUGGUUCACAGCAGGGUUCGGUAGCCACCAUGGGCCAGCGAAUUUAAAUCCGAAUCCCAGCACUUAGUAAGGAAUAAUUGGAAACAGUCCCAAAGCCAACAGUACAAGAAUGAUUACGUAAAUGAUGGCUUAUCCACAUGAUGGAAAUUUAUACAGCCAUUGAAGACCAUGUGCUUUCAAAGGCUGUCAGUGAGAGGAAACAGCAGUGAAGCAGCAUGUACAAAAAGCAACAGAAACCCUAGAUCGGGAAGUCUGAGACAGGAAGCCUUUGGGCCAGAUCCACAUAAAACCCAAAUCUGGUUGGCCUGCAGUGUUAAAGGAAAUCGGAUUAAUUGCCGUCAUGUAAAAGUCUGAUUUUAUGUUUGUUUUAUUUAUUUAUGAAUUUAUUUUUGAGACAGAGUCUUACUCUGUGG
This 1035-nucleotide small RNA is filed under the name Pongo abelii (Sumatran orangutan). RNAcentral describes it as "retained intron". The record is from RNAcentral. Lineage: Eukaryota; Metazoa; Chordata; Mammalia; Primates; Hominidae.